RNAcentral lists this transfer RNA (70 nucleotides) under Wormaldia unispina. RNAcentral's name for it is "tRNA-Lys". Lineage: Eukaryota; Metazoa; Arthropoda; Insecta; Trichoptera; Philopotamidae. The record is from RNAcentral.
CAUUAAGUAACUUAAAGUAAGUAUAGGUCUCUUAAACCAACUCAUAAUAAUUAACAACUAUUCUUAAUGA